Molecule: long non-coding RNA, 306 nt
Organism: Rosa chinensis
Lineage: Eukaryota; Viridiplantae; Streptophyta; Magnoliopsida; Rosales; Rosaceae
Exons: 4
Source: RefSeq, a predicted model, not a curated record
GUCACAUUGAGUUCGUUUCCAGUUUCUAGACUUCCACUCAGUUUACGCCUGCUCGUGGUCUAGAUCACUUUUUAUUUCAGGGUAUAUAAAUAUAGUGGAAUUGGGUCACGGGGAAUCACCAACAGCAUCAACAUGAUGACCAAGAUCAAGACCACUGUAAUCAACUUACCAACCCCUUCUUAACAUCAUGGGUUAAUUAGUUCAUGGAUAGCAACGAUGGGAGUCCUCCUCACGGUGGAGAUCCUGCAAUGGAUGCAGGGGAUUAGAGGAACCAAUUGCAGGUGGAUUCGUGGAAAAGAAUUGUCA